Molecule: ribosomal RNA, 486 nt
Filed under: uncultured Flavobacteriaceae bacterium
Lineage: Bacteria; Pseudomonadati; Bacteroidota; Flavobacteriia; Flavobacteriales; Flavobacteriaceae
Description: bacterial SSU rRNA
Rfam family: Bacterial small subunit ribosomal RNA
Source: RNAcentral
GAUGAACGCUAGCGGCAGGCCUAACACAUGCAAGUCGGACGGUAACAGGGAUUGCUUGCAAUCCGCUGACGAGUGGCGCACGGGUGCGCAACGCGUAUAGAACCUACCCUUUACAGGGGGAUAGCCCAGAGAAAUUUGGAUUAAUACCCCGUAGUACCUAUCAGAGGCAUUUCUAAUAGGUUAUAGUUUUCGAACGGUAAAGGAUGGCUAUGCGUCUUAUUAGCUAGUAGGUAAGGUAACGGCUUACCUAGGCUACGAUAAGUAGGGGCCCUGAGAGGGGGAUCCCCCACACUGGUACUGAGACACGGACCAGACUCCUACGGGAGGCAGUAGUGAGGAAUAUUGGACAAUGGGCGGAAGCCUGAUCCAGCCAUGCCGCGUGCAGGAAGACGGCCCUAUGGGUUGUAAACUGCUUUUAUACGGGAAGAAUAAGGGAUACGUGUAUCCUGGUGACGGUACCGUAAGAAUAAGGACCGGCUAACUCCG